AUGGGGCCGUGUCUUCAUUCCUCGCCGUCCGUCCGCCGCCGCCGCCGCCGCAUCCAGACCCCGCCAUCCGGCGCCGCGUCCGUAUUCCCCGGCCCAGCGCCGCAUUCAGACCCCGCGUCCGCAUUCCUGCUGGCCUCCCCUCUGCGGCGCUUUGCUCUGGCCUCGCCGACGCAACCCGCAUCUCCAGUCUCCCCUCGGCGGCGCCAUGCUCUGGACUCGUCGAUGCUUCGCGCACCUCCGGCCUCCCCUCCUCAGCACCCUUCUUCGACCUCCCUCCCCAACGCGGUCCACACCAGCAACCUCCCUUCCUCCCCCUUCAGCAGCUCCCUUGAGGUGAAUCAAUCACGGGAUGAAUGGAGUCGCGCCGUCGGCCAUGGCGGCAGGGGCAGCCUAGAAGACCUCAAACCUGCUGGCUCCUCUCCCUGA
This 426-nucleotide ribosomal RNA is filed under the name Triticum aestivum (bread wheat). RNAcentral's name for it is "partial small subunit ribosomal RNA". The record is from RNAcentral. Lineage: Eukaryota; Viridiplantae; Streptophyta; Magnoliopsida; Poales; Poaceae.